UACGUAGGGUGCAAGCGUUGUCCGGAAUUAUUGGGCGUAAAGAGCUCGUAGGCGGUUCGUCGCGUCGGCUGUGAAAACCCGGAGCUCAACUCCGGGCCUGCAGUCGAUACGGGCGGACUUGAGUGUUGCAGGGGAGACUGGAAUUCCUGGUGUAGCGGUGAAAUGCGCAGAUAUCAGGAGGAACACCGGUGGCGAAGGCGGGUCUCUGGGCCGAUACUGACGCUGAGGAGCGAAAGCGUGGGGAGCGAACAGG
This 253-nucleotide ribosomal RNA is filed under the name uncultured bacterium. RNAcentral describes it as "partial 16S ribosomal RNA". It matches the Rfam family "Bacterial small subunit ribosomal RNA", at positions 524 to 776 of the family's 1533-position model. The record is from RNAcentral.